Molecule: ribosomal RNA, 369 nt
Filed under: uncultured bacterium
Lineage: Bacteria
Description: bacterial SSU rRNA
Rfam family: Bacterial small subunit ribosomal RNA
Source: RNAcentral
GUAGGGUGCGAGCGUUAAUCGGAAUUACUGGGCGUAAAGCGUGCGCAGGCGGUUCGUCAAGUCUGAUGUGAAAUCCCCGGGCUCAACCUGGGAACUGCAUUGGAUACUAGCGAGCUUGAGUGUGGCAGAGGGGGGUGGAAUUCCACGUGUAGCAGUGAAAUGCGUAGAGAUGUGGAGGAACACCGAUGGCGAAGGCAGCCCCCUGGGCUAACACUGACGCUCAGGCACGAAAGCGUGGGGAGCAAACAGGAUUAGAUACCCUGGUAGUCCACGCCCUAAACGAUGUCAACUGGGUGUUGGGGGAGCGAUUCCUCAGUACCGUAGCUAACGCGUGAAGUUGACCGCCUGGGGAGUACGGCCGCAAGGUUA